RNAcentral lists this ribosomal RNA (276 nucleotides) under uncultured Pseudomonas sp. RNAcentral describes it as "partial 16S ribosomal RNA". It matches the Rfam family "Bacterial small subunit ribosomal RNA", at positions 1107 to 1382 of the family's 1533-position model. Lineage: Bacteria; Pseudomonadati; Pseudomonadota; Gammaproteobacteria; Pseudomonadales; Pseudomonadaceae. The record is from RNAcentral.
GUCCUAGUUACCAGCACGUUAUGGUGGGCACUCUAAGGAGACGUGCCGGUGACAAACCGGAGGAAGGUGGGGAUGACGUCAAGUCAUCAUGGCCCUUACGGCCUGGGCUACACACGUGCUACAAUGGUCGGUACAAAGGGUUGCCAAGCCGCGAGGUGGAGCUAAUCCCAUAAAACCGAUCGUAGUCCGGAUCGCAGUCUGCAACUCGACUGCGUGAAGUCGGAAUCGCUAGUAAUCGUGAAUCAGAAUGUCACGGUGAAUACGUUCCCGGGCCUU